AGUGAAUAAAUAAUCCACAAUUAAAACCAUUAAGACUAGUACUACUUAAAAAUAAUGGCAACAUUUUUCAAAAUAAUGUGGCUAAUAUGGAUUCUCAGUUUGACCACAGCGCAAGCUCAAACCCGUGUGUGCCAAAGAAUAGCAAUUAAUGCCCGUGCUGGUCAAAGACUUUGCGAGCGCCAAUGCCCUCCAAACCGUUUGCGUUUCUUAUGCGCCACUGUACGUAUAGUGCAAACAAUAAGGUUAUGCCCACCAAGUUGUUGUCGCAUCGGCGACGGUUGUCGUACAUUUUAAUGAUUACAUUUCCGGAAAUAUACUGUUAAUAAGCAAAUUGUAAGAAGGUUGUAAAAUUAAGAUACCUUCGUAUCUAUAGAAAGAAUUUAAAUACAAUAAUUGAUAAAAAGAAA
This is a long non-coding RNA of Bactrocera oleae (olive fruit fly), 407 nucleotides long. RefSeq lists it as uncharacterized. NCBI's taxonomy places the organism in Eukaryota, Metazoa, Arthropoda, Insecta, Diptera, Tephritidae. The record is from RefSeq and is a predicted model, not a curated record.